Long non-coding RNA from Lutra lutra (Eurasian river otter), 369 nucleotides. RefSeq lists it as uncharacterized. The transcript is spliced from 2 exons. The record is from RefSeq and is a predicted model, not a curated record. NCBI's taxonomy places the organism in Eukaryota, Metazoa, Chordata, Mammalia, Carnivora, Mustelidae.
CACCACGCGCAGGCUGCUUCUGUCCCGACUCCCCUGAGAGUUUAGGGGGGCGGUGGUGAUAAGGGGAUGGAAGAUGACGAAUCCCCUGGCUGCCCCUCCCAGCAAGAGGGAACAAGAGGCUUUCGGCAUCCGCUUCCAGAUGUUUCCUCCCAGCUCCACUGUGGCUGAGGAGGCACCCACCCAAACAAGGGAAAGCCAAGGGUGAAGAAAGAAGGCUGGGUCACUGGUGGGUGGAGAGUUUGCCUCAGCCUCAACGUCAGCACAGAGACAUCUGUGUGGCUGUGAACUUGGAUGGCGUCUCACCCCCGUCACGGAGAAACCCUGUGUGUCUUCGGUUGAUGAGAAUCUGAGCCAUGCCCUUGUGAUUUG